GGCUUGGUGUAGCGGUCUGAGUGUUGGACUAGGACUCUGGAGACCAGGGUUCGAGUCCCAGCUCGGCCA
Non-coding RNA from Phrynosoma platyrhinos (Desert horned lizard), 69 nucleotides. NCBI's taxonomy places the organism in Eukaryota, Metazoa, Chordata, Lepidosauria, Squamata, Phrynosomatidae. The record is from the annotation of a GenBank genome assembly.